GAUGAACGCUGGCGGCGUGCCUAAUACAUGCAAGUCGAGCGAACGGACGAGAAGCUUGCUUCUCUGAUGUUAGCGGCGGACGGGUGAGUAACACGUGGAUAACCUACCUAUAAGACUGGGAUAACUUCGGGAAACCGGAGCUAAUACCGGAUAAUAUUUUGAACCGCAUGGUUCAAAAGUGAAAGACGGUCUUGCUGUCACUUAUAGAUGGAUCCGCGCUGCAUUAGCUAGUUGGUAAGGUAACGGCUUACCAAGGCAACGAUGCAUAGCCGACCUGAGAGGGUGAUCGGCCACACUGGAACCGAGACACGGUCCAGACUCCUACGGGAGGCAGCAGUAGGGAAUCCUCCGCCAUGGGCGAAAGCCUGACGGAGCAACGCCGCGUGAGUGAUGAAGGUCUUCGGAUCGUAAAACUCUGUUAUUAGGGAAGAACAUAUGUGUAAGUAACUGUGCACAUCUUGACGGUACCUAAUCAGAAAGCCACGGCUAACUACGUG
RNAcentral lists this ribosomal RNA (497 nucleotides) under uncultured bacterium. RNAcentral describes it as "partial 16S ribosomal RNA". It matches the Rfam family "Bacterial small subunit ribosomal RNA", at positions 28 to 507 of the family's 1533-position model. The record is from RNAcentral.